This 498-nucleotide ribosomal RNA is filed under the name uncultured bacterium. Its description in RNAcentral is "partial 16S ribosomal RNA". It matches the Rfam family "Bacterial small subunit ribosomal RNA", at positions 30 to 523 of the family's 1533-position model. The record is from RNAcentral.
AUUGAACGCUGGCGGCAUGCCUUACACAUGCAAGUCGAACGGUAACAGGUCUUCGGAUGCUGACGAGUGGCGAACGGGUGAGUAAUACAUCGGAACGGGCCCGAUCGUGGGGGAUAACGAAGCGAAAGCUUUGCUAAUACCGCAUAAGAUCUACGGAUGAAAGCAGGGGACCGCAAGGCCUUGCGCGAACGGAACGGCCGAUGGCAGAUUAGGUAGUUGGUGGGAUAAAAGCUUACCAAGCCGACCAUCUGUAGCUGGUCUGAGAGGACGACCAGCCACACUGGGACUGAGACACGGCCCAGACUCCUACGGGAGGCAGCAGUGGGGAAUUUUGGACAAUGGGCGAAAGCCUGAUCCAGCCAUGCCGCGUGCAGGAUGAAGGCCUUCGGGUUGUAAACUGCUUUUGUACGGAACGAAAAGACUCUUUCUAAUAAAGAGGGUCCAUGACGGUACCGUAAGAAUAAGCACCGGCUAACUACGUGCCAGCAGCCGCCGUAA